AAGAUCUUAUGUUAAACAAACAAAUAACCUUCAAAGUUAUAAAUAAAAGUAAUUAAUCUUUUAGAUCUUA
Molecule: transfer RNA, 70 nt
Filed under: Euphaea ochracea
Lineage: Eukaryota; Metazoa; Arthropoda; Insecta; Odonata; Euphaeidae
Description: tRNA-Trp
Source: RNAcentral